AGCUCAGUGGCAGAGCAUGUGCUUAGCAUGCGCAAGGUCCUGGGUUCAAUCCCCAG
RNAcentral lists this transfer RNA (56 nucleotides) under Camelus bactrianus (Bactrian camel). It matches the Rfam family "tRNA", at positions 9 to 63 of the family's 71-position model. From Rfam's summary of the family: Transfer RNA (tRNA) molecules are approximately 80 nucleotides in length. Their secondary structure includes four short double-helical elements and three loops (D, anti-codon, and T loops). Further hydrogen bonds mediate the characteristic L-shaped molecular structure. tRNAs have two regions of fundamental functional importance: the anti-codon, which is responsible for specific mRNA codon recognition, and the 3' end, to which the tRNAs corresponding amino acid is attached (by aminoacyl-tRNA synthetases). tRNAs cope with the degeneracy of the genetic code in two manners: having more than one tRNA (with a specific anti-codon) for a particular amino acid; and 'wobble' base-pairing, i.e. permitting non-standard base-pairing at the 3rd anti-codon position. RNAcentral also lists the same sequence under 2 other names. Lineage: Eukaryota; Metazoa; Chordata; Mammalia; Artiodactyla; Camelidae. The record is from Rfam by way of RNAcentral.